Molecule: ribosomal RNA, 301 nt
Filed under: uncultured bacterium
Lineage: Bacteria
Description: partial 16S ribosomal RNA
Rfam family: Bacterial small subunit ribosomal RNA
Source: RNAcentral
CAGCAGCCGCGGUAAUACAGAGGGUGCGAGCGUUAAUCGGAUUUACUGGGCGUAAAGCGUGCGUAGGCGGCUAAUUGAGUCGGAUGUGAAAUCCCUGAGCUUAACUUAGGAAUUGCAUUCGAUACUGGGAAGCUAGAGUAUGGGAGAGGAUGGUAGAAUUCCAGGUGUAGCGGUGAAAUGCGUAGAGAUCUGGAGGAAUACCGAUGGCGAAGGCAGCCAUCUGGCCUAAUACUGACGCUGAGGUACGAAAGCAUGGGGAGCAAACAGGAUUAGAUACCCCUGUAGUCCCUGUCACUUAUAA